RNAcentral lists this ribosomal RNA (500 nucleotides) under uncultured bacterium. RNAcentral describes it as "partial 16S ribosomal RNA". It matches the Rfam family "Bacterial small subunit ribosomal RNA", at positions 29 to 523 of the family's 1533-position model. The record is from RNAcentral.
AUUGAACGCUGGCGGAAUGCUUUACACAUGCAAGUCGAACGGCAGCACGGACCUCGGUCUGGUGGCGAGUGGCGAACGGGUGAGUAAUACAUCGGAACGUGCCCAGUCGUGGGGGAUAACGUAGCGGAAGCUACGCUAAUACCGCAUACGAUCUAAGGAUGAAAGCGGGGGACCGUAAGGCCUCGCGCGAUUGGAGCGGCCGAUGGCAGAUUAGGUAGUUGAGGGGGUAAAGGCUCACCAAGCCGACGAUCUGUAGCUGGUCUGAGAGGACGACCAGCCACACGGGGACUGAGACACGGCCCAGACUCCUACGGGAGGCAGCAGUGGGGAAUUUUGGACAAUGGGCGCAAGCCUGAUCCAGCCAUUCCGCGUGCAGGAUGAAGGCCCUCGGGUUGUAAACUGCUUUUGUACGGAACGAAAAGGCUCUGGUUAAUACCUGGGGCUCAUGACGGUACCGUAAGAAUAAGCACCGGCUAACUACGUGCCAGCAGCCGCCGCAG